GACGAACGCUGGCGGCGCGCCUAACACAUGCAAGUCGAACGAGCGAGAGAGAGCUUGCUUUCUCAAGCGAGUGGCGAACGGGUGAGUAACGCGUGAGGAACCUGCCUCAAAGAGGGGGACAACAGUUGGAAACGACUGCUAAUACCGCAUAAGCCCACAGCUCGGCAUCGAGCAGAGGGAAAAGGAGCAAUCCGCUUUGAGAUGGCCUCGCGUCCGAUUAGCUAGUUGGUGAGGUAAUGGCCCACCAAGGCGACGAUCGGUAGCCGGACUGAGAGGUUGAACGGCCACAUUGGGACUGAGACACGGCCCAGACUCCUACGGGAGGCAGCAGUGGGGAAUAUUGCACAAUGGGGGAAACCCUGAUGCAGCGACGCCGCGUGGAGGAAGAAGGUCUUCGGAUUGUAAACUCCUGUUGUUG
Molecule: ribosomal RNA, 418 nt
Filed under: uncultured bacterium
Lineage: Bacteria
Description: bacterial SSU rRNA
Rfam family: Bacterial small subunit ribosomal RNA
Source: RNAcentral